AGAGUUUGAUCCUGGCUCAGAACGAACGCUGGCGGCAGGCCUAACACAUGCAAGUCGAGCGAGAAGGUUCUUUCGGGAACUGGAGAGCGGCGGACGGGUUAGUAACGCGUGGGAACGUGCCCUAAAGUCUGGGAUAACUAUUAGAAAUGAUAGCUAAUACCGGAUGGUCCCUUCGGGGUAAAGCUUUAGCGCUUUAGGAUCGGCCCGCGUUAGAUUAGGUAGUUGGUGAGGUAAUGGCUCACCAAGCCUACGAUCUAUAGCUGGUUUGAGAGGAUGAUCAGCAACACUGGAACUGAGACACGGUCCAGACUCCUACGGGAGGCAGCAGUGGGGAAUAUUGCGCAAUGGAGGAAACUCUGACGCAGCCAUGCCGCGUGAGUGAAGAAGGCCUUAGGGUUGUAAAACUCUUUCAACGGUGAAGAUGAUGACGGUAACCGUAGAAGAAGCACCGGCUAACUUCGUGCCAGCAGCCGCGGUAAUACGAAGGGUGCUAGCGUUGUUCGGAAUUACUGGGCGUAAAGGGCGUGUAGGCGGAUAUGUAAGUUAGGGGUGAAAUCCCGGGGCUCAACCUCGGAACUGCCUUUAAAACUACAUAUCUAGAAUCCAUGAGGGGAUAGUGGAAUAUCAAGUGUAGAGGUGAAAUUCGUAGAUAUUUGAUGGAACACCAGUGGCGAAGGCGACUAUCUGGCAUGGCAUUGACGCUGAGGCGCGAAAGCGUGGGGAGCAAACAGGAUUAGAUACCCUGUAGUCCACGCCGUAAACGAUGUAUACUAGCCGUCGGGGCUUUGGUCUCGGUGGCGCAGCUAACGCAUUAAGUAUACCGCCUGGGGAGUACGGUCGCAGAUUAAACUCAAGGAAUUGACGGG
RNAcentral lists this ribosomal RNA (866 nucleotides) under uncultured bacterium. RNAcentral's name for it is "bacterial SSU rRNA". It matches the Rfam family "Bacterial small subunit ribosomal RNA", at positions 8 to 917 of the family's 1533-position model. The record is from RNAcentral.